Molecule: ribosomal RNA, 292 nt
Filed under: uncultured bacterium
Lineage: Bacteria
Also listed under: 2 other names
Description: partial 16S ribosomal RNA
Source: RNAcentral
GGACUACUGGGGUUUCUAAUCCCGUUCGCUCCCCUAGCUUUCGCGCCUCAGCGUCAGAAGAGGUCCAGCACGUCGCUUUCGCCACCGGCGUUCCUUCCGAUAUCAACGCAUUUCACCGCUCCACCGGAAGUUCCACAUGCCCCUACCUCCCUCAAGACGAUCAGUAUCAGAGGCUAUUUUCCGGUUGAGCCGAAAGAUUUCACCCCUGACUUGAUUGCCCGCCUACGCGCCCUUUAAGCCCAGUGAAUCCGAACAACGUUUGCACGGUUCGUCUUACCGCGGCUGCUGGCAC